Cydia pomonella (codling moth) is the source of this 945-nucleotide long non-coding RNA. RefSeq lists it as uncharacterized. NCBI's taxonomy places the organism in Eukaryota, Metazoa, Arthropoda, Insecta, Lepidoptera, Tortricidae. The transcript has 2 exons. The record is from RefSeq and is a predicted model, not a curated record.
UUUCUAGUGCAAUGCUACAUUUUUAUACAUAAGUAGUAUGUAAUAUUGUCCAAGAGAAAUAAUCGAGCUAUACGUAUCUACCCAUACCUAUUGGAUAUCUAUAUGAUAUAAGUUGUAGGAAUUUACACUCUGAUUGUCUGAUUGUGAUUAUAGAUAGACAAGGAUUGUUAUACUUAUAUAUAGUAUUGGCAUAGUACAGCAACAUCACUUGAGUUUAAAUGCAUGUCACGAAAUAGCGAGCAAGAUCCCAGAGCCAGCCGCCAGAACUUACUUAUUUUCUCAUGAAUAAAAUGUAUGGGAUAAUAUAGUGUUAGUAUGUACUUUUAAUGUCUGCAUACUUGCUAUAUUGGCCCGACGGCCAUUUGUCCGGUACAAGGUCUGGCGGCUCUGGGAUCUUGGACUAAAAUUAUAAUAAGUAUUGUACACUGGGGGCCUACCGCGAAAACCGAAAUUCGCAAAUUGGGGGAACCUUUCUCUUUUACUCUCACUAACACGUAAUUAGAGUGACAGAGAAAAAUGCCCGCAAUUGACGAACUUCGAUUUUCGCGGUUAUAGCCCUGGAAUCGUAAGCGAGGACCUACUAAUCAUGGUUUGGUACAUCCAAAACUAAACAAUAAGUAAUACCUACUUAAUAGGAUGACGUAAUAACGAAAAUAUGAAUAUUAUGGUCUGUAAAAGAUAAAGUUUGUUUUGAACAUUCUAAAUGCUAAUGCCCUAAUUAUACAGGAUGAAAUGUCUAUAACGGCCAGUAAUUGUCACUAUACAUAUAUUACUCUGAAACAUAUUAUCACACCUGUCUAAGUAAAAUAUUAUGAAAAUGAAAUGGUGUAUUCUAAUGAAUCAUUAAAGUACGUGGAUAGGCGAAAUAAAUAAAAGCAAAAUAUAAAAAUAAUAAUGGAUUUUAUUGUUUUACGUUGAAAAGGUUUUAUAGGAAGAACAAUAGAA